GGCUAUUCGAGGCAUGUCUCCUGAUGUCUCCCAAAGAAUGCACUCCUCUGGCCUAUGCCUGAUUACUCUGCAGAAAUUCCCGUGGUUUCUGCCAUCUCAGCAACUUCUGUCACAGAGACGCUGGAAAUACUCUACUGAAAACGUUCGUGGAUAUAUCAGCUCCUGGUAAUAAGAAAACAUGCAGAAAAGAACAUAGCAGGCCAGAGAUUGCUAUCCUGAGGAAGGCCUCCUUACAAGGUUGGCCCAGCUGGCAUUCCAGAACUUGGAUUUGGGAGUGUUUCCACCAUUUCCUGGUAAGAAUAACUCAUUGUACCUAAACUGUUUGUACAAACAAUGUGCUUUAAGUUGAAUACCUGAUUUC
Molecule: long non-coding RNA, 361 nt
Organism: Rhinopithecus bieti (black snub-nosed monkey)
Lineage: Eukaryota; Metazoa; Chordata; Mammalia; Primates; Cercopithecidae
Source: Ensembl